This 223-nucleotide unclassified non-coding RNA is filed under the name uncultured Actinomycetes bacterium. RNAcentral's name for it is "uncultured actinobacterium contains 16S-23S intergenic spacer region". It matches the Rfam family "Bacterial small subunit ribosomal RNA", at positions 978 to 1197 of the family's 1533-position model. Lineage: Bacteria; Bacillati; Actinomycetota; Actinomycetes. The record is from RNAcentral.
AAGGCUUGACAUGCACUGGAAUGCCGUAGAAAUACGGCAGCCCUUCGGGGCUAGUGCGCAGGUGGUGCAUGGCUGUCGUCAGCUCGUGUCGUGAGAUGUUGGGUUAAGUCCCGCAACGAGCGCAACCCUUAUCCUAUGUUGCCAGCGGGUUAUGCCGGGGACUCGUAGGAGACUGCCGGGGUCAACUCGGAGGAAGGUGGGGAUGACGUAACGGCAUUAGCCA